CUGAGCCUCUCGGACUCGGGGAGGGCUCCGGGCAGCUGUGCCAAGCAAGCAUGGGUUUGCCGAUGAGGCAGCUGAGUCCACGCAUCCACAGACUUAGUUUUCUAUGAUCUCCUGUUAUGGGUUGAGUUUUGUCCCCCCAGAUGCAAGUCCUAACUCCCAGCCCCGCAGAACGCAACCUUAUUUGGAGAUAGGGUCUUUGCAGAGGGCAAUGCAUCUACGGGCCAGGGAACAUCGAAGAUGCCAGCCAACCACCAUGAGCCGGGGGAGAAGCCGGGCCCUGAUUCUCCCCCACAGCCCUCAGAAGGAAGUAACCUUGCUGACGCCCUGAUCUUGAACUUCCAGACCUCACAGCUGGGAGACAAUACAUUUCUUCGUUGAAGCCA
Long non-coding RNA from Felis catus (domestic cat), 383 nucleotides. RefSeq lists it as uncharacterized. NCBI's taxonomy places the organism in Eukaryota, Metazoa, Chordata, Mammalia, Carnivora, Felidae. The record is from RefSeq and is a predicted model, not a curated record. The transcript has 3 exons.